CGGGCGGUGUGUGCAAGAGGGGAGAGUGGAAUUCCAUGUGUAGCGGUGAAAUGCGUAGAUAUAUGGAGGAACACCGGUGGCGAAAGCGGCUCUCUGGCUUGUAACUGACGCUGAGGCUCGAAAGCGUGGGGAGCAAACAGGAUUAGAUACCCUGGUAGUCCAUGCCGUAAACGUUGGGCACUAGGUGUGGGGAGCAUUCCACGUUUUCCGCGCCGUAGCUAACGCAUUAAGUGCCCCGCCUGGGGAGUACGGCCGCAAGGCUAAAACUCAAAGGAAUUGACGGGGGCCCGCACAAGCGGCGGAGCAUGCGGAUUAAUUCGAUGCAACGCGAAGAACCUUACCAAGGCUUGACAUGCACUGGAUCGCUGCAGAGAUGUGGUUUUCUUUGGACUGGUGCACAGGUGGUGCAUGGUUGUCGUCAGCUCGUGUCGUGAGAUGUUGGGUUAAGUCCCGCAACGAGCGCAACCCUUGUCUUAUGUUGCCAGCAUUUGGUUGGGGACUCAUGAGAGACUGCCGGGGUUAACUCGGAGGAAGGUGGGGAUGACGUCAAAUCAUCAUGCCCCUUAUGUCCAGGGCUUCACACAUGCUACAAUGGUCGGUACAACGCGUGGCGAUACUGUGAGGUGGAGCUAAUCGCUUGAAAGCCGGUCGUAGUUCGGAUUGGGGUCUGCAACUCGACCCCAUGAAGUCGGAGUCGCUAGUAAUCGCAGAUCAGCAAUGCUGCGGUGAAUACGUUCCCGGGCCUUGCACACACCGCCCGA
This 761-nucleotide ribosomal RNA is filed under the name uncultured bacterium. RNAcentral's name for it is "bacterial SSU rRNA". It matches the Rfam family "Bacterial small subunit ribosomal RNA", at positions 636 to 1397 of the family's 1533-position model. The record is from RNAcentral.